Molecule: long non-coding RNA, 708 nt
Organism: Hyla sarda
Lineage: Eukaryota; Metazoa; Chordata; Amphibia; Anura; Hylidae
Exons: 4
Source: RefSeq, a predicted model, not a curated record
GCCUUUAUAGAAGAUGGCGUUGUGGAGCGAGACAUGAAGCCUUAUGGGAGUUGUAGUCAUCUUGUUUGUGACAAGAAAGUGUUACAGCCUGUAAUAGUGAGCAGGUGCAUUUGCAAUUUGGAGUGCAGUACCGGAAGGAUACUGUGACAGCCUUGCUCAUGAAGACUGGAAUCUAAUUGGUCUCUAACAAGGCAGUGCCACCGCAGAUCACCAUUUUUCUCCAUUAUCUCCUCAUCCUCUUGCCAACCUCCGGUUUAGUGUUCGGCCAGAUUCUGCAGGCUGCAGCCCGAGAUCGAUUGUCUGACCCCACAAUGAGGGGUGAUAGGCCUAUACCAAGGCUUACCCCCAGUGCCGAUGUGGUCCUGUGAGGCCGGGUUGCUGUGGAGACGAGGGGAAGCCACGACGGGUCAGCUGACCAUGUUUGCCACACUGCACCGGUGUCGUGUCCAGCCCGUAUCCAUGGCAACAGAGCACUUGAUUCAUGUUAUUGUAAUGAAGACGUCACCUGAAGAUUUUGGGCGGAGAAGCCAGCGGCGUAGUUGGUGAUGUCAGUUGUUGGUUGCAUAUAAGAGUGUGUUUUUACGUCAUUUGUAUGAGCCGAAAGAAGCACAUUCUGUGCGAAAAAGACAUAGCUUGAUUGUGUCAGUCUGCACCCGGCACCAUUUUUGUACCCCACGGUUGCUGUAAUAAAUCAGCUUGACUGCUACA